GAUCAAGUUACUAAGAGCAUACGGUGGAUGCCUUGGCACGGAGAGGCGAUGAAGGACGUGGUAAGCUGCGAUAAGCCUCGAUUAGGAGCAAACAUCCUUUGAGUCGGGGAUUUCCGAAUGGGGCAACCCAGCAGGGUAAUACCUGUCUAUUGCAUAGUAAAUUCAUAGCUAUGCAAGGCGAACGGGGGGAACUGAAACAUCUAAGUACCCCCAGGAAGAGAAAACAACCGUGAUUUCCCAAGUAGCGGCGAGCGAAAGGGAAAGAGUCUAAACCGAUUGACAUGUUAAAGCGGGUGCGCGUUGUGUCGUCGGUGUUGCGGGUUCAGUUCUGACCGAAGUACCCAUAGGUCGAAGAGUCAAAAACCGUUUGGUUAACCGAAUAAUUCUGGAACGUCAAACCAUAGAGGGUGAUAGUCCCGUAGGUGAAAAUCAAGCGGCUCUUUCGAAUUGAUACCCAAGUAACCCGGAACACGAGAAAUUCUGGGUGAAUCUGCCAAGACCACUUGGUAAGACUAAACACUACUUCGUGACCGAUAGUGAACCAGUACCGUGAGGGAAAGGUGAAAAGAACCGCUGACGCGGAGUGAAAUAGUACCUGAAACCGUAUGCUUACAAGCUGUGGGAGGAAAGUGUGCUCUUCGGAGUACAUAGACUGACCGCGUGCCUAUUGAAUAAUGAUCUAGCGAGUUACUCCUCGGUUGCAAGGUUAAGGCAAACACUGCCGGAGCCGUAGCGAAAGCGAGUUUUAAACGAGCGUUAAGUAGCCGGGGGUAGACCCGAAGCCAGUUGAUCUAUGUAUGGCCAGGAUGAAAGACCGGUAACACGGUCUGGAGGUCCGAACCCACCGCUGUUGAAAAGGCGGGGGAUGAGCUGUACAUAGGGGUGAAAGGCCAAUCAAAACUGGAGAUAGCUGGUUCUCCCCGAAAUAGCUUUAGGGCUAGCCUUGUGUAAUAGUGUGACGGAGGUAGAGCACUGAAUUGGUUAGGGGGCCUACAAGCCUACCGACCCGAAUCAAACUCCGAAUGCCGUCUACAUGUUUCACAGGAGAUAGUCUGCGAGGGAUAAGCUUCGUAGGCGAAAGGGAAACACCCCAGACCGCCGGCUAAGGUCCCUAAACAAUGCUAAGUGAUAAAGGAUGUGGAAUUACUGAAACAGCUAGGAUGUUGGCUUAGAAGCAGCCAUUCAUUUAAAGAGUGCGUAAUAGCUCACUAGUCUAGUGAUUCUGCGCCGAUAAUAAACGGGACUAAGCAUUGUACCGAAGCCGCGGACUUCACGCGCAAGCGUGAUUUGGUAGGGGAGCAUUCUGUUGUAGGUCGAAGGUAUCUCGGUAAGAGGUGCUGGACGAAGCAGAAGAGAUUAUGCUAGAACGAGUAGCGAUAAUACAGGCGAGAAACCUGUACACCGUAAACCUAAGGUUUCCUGAGGAAGGUUAAUCCGCUCAGGGUUAGUCGGAACCUAAGCCCAGGCCGAGAGGCGUAAGCGAUGGAAAACAGGUCAAUAUUCCUGUACCAGGUGCAACGUGUUUGAGCUAUGGGGUGACGCAGUCGUGAAAGGGCAGCCACCUGAUGGAUGGUGGUCCAAGCCUGUAGGUGGAUCGCGCAGGUAAAUCCGUGCGGUCAACACCGAGAGGUGAUGGGGGAAUGAGUCUUCGGACAAACCAACUGCCCCUAAUCAUACUGCCGAGAAAAACCUCUAUGUUAAUGUUGUAUCUGUCCGUACCGUAAUCCGACACAGGUAGGUGAGGAGAAUAUCCUAAGGUGCUCGAGCUAACCCACGUUAAGGAACUAGGCAAAAUGGCCCCGUAACUUCGGAAGAAGGGGUGCUCCUAAGUAGGUGAGAGAGUUCGCCUCUCAAGCUGAAUGGAGUCACAGUAAAGUGGCCUGGGUGACUGUUUACUAAAAACACAUGUCUCUGCUAAGCCCUAAGGCGACGUAUAGGGACUGACACCUGCCCGGUGCUGGAAGGUUAAGAGGAGGGGUCAGCUGUAUUUAUAUAGCGAAGCUCUCAAUCGAAGCCCCAGUAAACGGCGGCCGUAACUAUAACGGUCCUAAGGUAGCGAAAUUCCUUGUCGGGUAAAUUCCGACCUGCACGAAUGGUGUAACUAUUUGGGCGCUGUCUCAACGUGGGACUCGGUGAAACUGUAGCAGCGGUGAAGAUGCCGCUUUCCCGCAUCGGGACGAAAAGACCCCGUGCACCUUUACUAUAACCUGGCAUUGUCAUUUGGACGGGCAUGUAGAGCAUAGGUGGGAGGCUGUGAAACUGGAGCGCUAGCUUCGGCGGAGCCAUCACUGGAAUACCACCCUUGUUUUUUCGGAUGUCUAACCUCGGUCCUUGAAACAGGAUGAGGAACACUGCCAGGCGGGUAGUUUGACUGGGGCGGUCGCCUCCCAAAGAGUAACGGAGGCGUACAAAGGUCUGCUCAGGCUGUUUGGUAAUCAGCUGUAGAGCGCAAGGGUAUAAGCAGGCUUAACUGCGAGACGUACAUGUCGAGCAGGAACGAAAGUUGGUCCUAGUGAUCCGGCGGUUGCGCGUGGAAGUGCCGUCGCUUAACGGAUAAAAGGUACGCCGGGGAUAACAGGCUUAUCUCCUCCGAGAGUUCACAUCGACGAGGGGGUUUGGCACCUCGAUGUCGGCUCAUCACAUCCUGGGGCUGGAGAAGGUCCCAAGGGUUCGGCUGUUCGCCGAUUAAAGUGGUACGUGAGCUGGGUUUAGAACGUCGUGAGACAGUUCGGUCUCUAUCUGAUGCGGGCGAAGGAAAUUUGAGGGGCUCUGACCCUAGUACGAGAGGACCAGGUCGGACCGACCGCCGGUGCACCUGUUGUUACGCCAGUAGCAUAGCAGGGUAGCUGCGUCGGGAAGGGAUAAGCGCUGAAUGCAUCUAAGUGCCAAGCCCACCCCAAGAUAAGAUUUCCCUAUCGAAAGAUCUAAAGGCACCUGGAAGAUGACCAGGUUGAUAGGUCACAGAUGUAAGCCCUGUGAGGGGUUCAGUCGAGUGAUACUAAUUUGCCGUGAGACUUGAUCUU
RNAcentral lists this ribosomal RNA (3023 nucleotides) under bacterium. RNAcentral's name for it is "23S ribosomal RNA". It matches the Rfam family "Bacterial large subunit ribosomal RNA". The record is from RNAcentral.